GAUGAACGCUGGCGGCGUGCCUAAUACAUGCAAGUCGAGCGAACAGAUGAGGAGCUUGCUCCUCUGACGUUAGCGGCGGACGGGUGAGUAACACGUGGAUAACCUACCUAUAAGACUGGGAUAACUUCGGGAAACCGGAGCUAAUACCGGAUAAUAUAUUGAACCGCAUGGUUCAAUAGUGAAAGACGGUUUUGCUGUCACUUAUAGAUGGAUCCGCGCCGCAUUAGCUAGUUGGUAAGGUAACGGCUUACCAAGGCAACGAUGCGUAGCCGACCUGAGAGGGUGAUCGGCAACACUGGAACUGAGACACGGUCCAGACUCCUACGGGAGGCAGCAGUAGGGAAUCUUCCGCAAUGGGCGAAAGCAUGACGGAGCAACGCCGCGUGAGUGAUGAAGGUCUUCGGAUCGUAAAACUCUGUUAUUAGGGAAGAACAAAUGUGUAAGUAACUAUGCACGUCUUGACGGUACCUAAUCAGAAAGCCACGGCUAACUACGUG
This 497-nucleotide ribosomal RNA is filed under the name uncultured bacterium. RNAcentral describes it as "partial 16S ribosomal RNA". It matches the Rfam family "Bacterial small subunit ribosomal RNA", at positions 28 to 507 of the family's 1533-position model. The record is from RNAcentral.